RNAcentral lists this ribosomal RNA (468 nucleotides) under uncultured bacterium. RNAcentral describes it as "partial 16S ribosomal RNA". It matches the Rfam family "Bacterial small subunit ribosomal RNA", at positions 28 to 507 of the family's 1533-position model. The record is from RNAcentral.
GAUGAACGCUGGCGGCGUGCUUAACACAUGCAAGUCGAACGGUGAAGGCGGAGCUUGCUCUGCUGGAUCAGUGGCGAACGGGUGAGUAACACGUGAGCAAUCUGCCCCUGACUCUGGGAUAAGCGCUGGAAACGGCGUCUAAUACUGGAUACGAGCUGCGAAGGCAUCUUCAGCAGCUGUAAAGAACUUCGGUCAGGGAUGAGCUCGCGGCCUAUCAGCUUGUUGGUGAGGUAACGGCUAACCAAGGCGUCGACGGGUAGCCGGCCUGAGAGGGUGACCGGCCACACUGGGACUGAGACACGGCCCAGACUCCUACGGGAGGCAGCAGUGGGGAAUAUUGCACAAUGGGCGAAAGCCUGAUGCAGCAACGCCGCGUGAGGGACGACGGCCUUCGGGUUGUAAACCUCUUUUAGCAGGGAAGAAGCGAAAGUGACGGUACCUGCAGAAAAAGCGCCGGCUAACUACGUG